RNAcentral lists this ribosomal RNA (580 nucleotides) under uncultured Candida. Its description in RNAcentral is "partial 18S ribosomal RNA". The stretch from base 208 to 361 matches the Rfam family "5.8S ribosomal RNA". The record is from RNAcentral. Lineage: Eukaryota; Fungi; Ascomycota; Saccharomycetes; Saccharomycetales.
CUUGGUCAUUUAGAGGAAGUAAAAGUCGUAACAAGGUUUCCGUAGGUGAACCUGCGGAAGGAUCAUUACUGAUUUGCUUAAUUGCACCACAUGUGUUUUUCUUUGAAACAAACUUGCUUUGGCGGUGGGCCCAGCCUGCCGCCAGAGGUCUAAACUUACAACCAAUUUUUUAUCAACUUGUCACACCAGAUUAUUACUAAUAGUCAAAACUUUCAACAACGGAUCUCUUGGUUCUCGCAUCGAUGAAGAACGCAGCGAAAUGCGAUACGUAAUAUGAAUUGCAGAUAUUCGUGAAUCAUCGAAUCUUUGAACGCACAUUGCGCCCUCUGGUAUUCCGGAGGGCAUGCCUGUUUGAGCGUCGUUUCUCCCUCAAACCGCUGGGUUUGGUGUUGAGCAAUACGACUUGGGUUUGCUUGAAAGACGGUAGUGGUAAGGCGGGAUCGCUUUGACAAUGGCUUAGGUCUAACCAAAAACAUUGCUUGCGGCGGUAACGUCCACCACGUAUAUCUUCAAACUUUGACCUCAAAUCAGGUAGGACUACCCGCUGAACUUAAGCAUAUCAAUAAGCGGAGGAAAUCGA